Molecule: long non-coding RNA, 317 nt
Organism: Triticum aestivum (bread wheat)
Lineage: Eukaryota; Viridiplantae; Streptophyta; Magnoliopsida; Poales; Poaceae
Exons: 3
Source: RefSeq, a predicted model, not a curated record
AGGUGGCGUCACUGAGAAUAGCAAUGAUCAGAUUCGUGAUUCCGUGGUAGAGAUUAAGAAAAUACGGGAUUCUAUUCUUCGUAAGGAAUUCAUACUUCAAGAUGGAAGUGCUCAAUGUGAUAUGGACAUUCAUAAAAUUAAGAUGGACAUUCAGAAAAUUAAGACUGAAAAGAAGAUGACAAAAGAAGUGUUGUCAACAAUGGAGAAAUAUAAGGAACCUAGCUCAAAUAUAAUGAAAGUUGCCAAUCUAAUUUUCUCUGGCGAUGAUGGGAAAACCAAGAGCACUAAUAGAAUGGAAUUGAAAUUUAAGGAGGCAC